AGUGAGCGCUGGCGGUAGGCCUAACACAUGCAAGUCGAACGGCAGCACAGUAAGAGCUUGCUCUUACGGGUGGCGAGUGGCGGACGGGUGAGGAAUACAUCGGAAUCUACUUUUUCGUGGGGGAUAACGUAGGGAAACUUACGCUAAUACCGCAUACGACCUACGGGUGAAAGCAGGGGAUCUUCGGACCUUGCGCGAUUGAAUGAGCCGAUGUCGGAUUAGCUAGUUGGCGGGGUAAAGGCGCACCAAGGCGACGAUCCGUAGCUGGUCUGAGAGGAUGAUCAGCCACACUGGAACUGAGACACGGUCCAGACUCCUACGGGAGGCAGCAGUGGGGAAUAUUGGACAAUGGGCGCAAGCCUGAUCCAGCCAUACCGCGUGGGUGAAGAAGGCCUUCGGGUUGUAAAGCCCUUUUGUUGGGAAAGAAAAGCAGCAGGUUAAUACCCCGCUGUUCUGACGGUACCCAAAGAAUAAGCACCGGCUAACUUCGUG
This 492-nucleotide ribosomal RNA is filed under the name uncultured bacterium. RNAcentral's name for it is "partial 16S ribosomal RNA". It matches the Rfam family "Bacterial small subunit ribosomal RNA", at positions 29 to 507 of the family's 1533-position model. The record is from RNAcentral.